GAAGAGCAAAAUCUGUCCUCCACAUGCCCUCUCCGAGGGGCCACUCGCCAGGGGUAACUGGGAGGAGAUGCAGGGAUGCAUAAGGACUUACACCAGCACAGGGCUGGUAUGUUCAGCCAUUCCCUAUGUCGGAGUUUCACUUCAGAGCCCCAGCGCAUGCCCUGCCGGCUGAGGGUCGCUCUUGUCCUUUCAGGCCACAUCACAAUUUCCCCGCUCUAGCCUAGGAACAAAUGGACUUUCUGGCUGUGAGCAUUCAGAGCAGCCUCUGGUAUUUUUCCCAGUUUCCGUUGUCUGCAAAGCCACUCUGGCACGUUACAGCCAUACGUCACACCAGCAAAAGUUUCUGGGAGUGGACUUUUCCGUGGAAUUCAGUUUUGAGUAUUUAAAAUUAAGUUUGAUAAGCUUUCUAUGCACAGGCACUUCUCCUCUCACUUGGACUGUCUGUUAUGGGGAAAGGAAAACACAGGGGCUGUUCUACCACAGUUACAGCUGCUCGACUCCCACUGAUCUGGCCAGCGCCUGGACCCCUUCGGAACCGGCACAGUGCUAUGGAAGUUUGUGGCCAACAGAGCUAGCUGGAUUCCCAGAAGCCGAAUGCUGCCAAAUUCUGGGAUUCACCCUGCAAAGGCUGUGACUGUGACCUGACCGUGACCAGAGGGUCAAAGGCCGAGCCUCAGAGGAGCUGAAGCUUCAAUCAGACGCUUGGCUGAAGGACAGCAACUGCCACGCAGCUCCUCCCUGAACACCUGUCUCUCAAAUCAGCUAAUUUAGUGAUUUGGUUUUCGAAUGGGAUAGAUUUAGAAUUAGCUUUGGUGAUACUUAGUUUUUAGUUUACUAAUGGUAUAGAUUUCUAAUUUGCUUUGGUGAUUUUUUUGCAUUUUAUGUUGUAAGUUUUUAUAUACAACAAUAAUUACGAGUUGUUUGAAACUAUUUUUUUUUUUUUUUUUGAGAUGGAGUCUCGCUCUAUCACCCAGGCUGGAGUGCAGUGGCGCAAUCUCGGCUCACUGCAAGCUCCGCCUCCCGGGUUCACGUCAUUCUCCUGCCUCAGCCUCCCGAGUAGCUGGGACUACAGGCGCCUGCCACCAUGCCCGGCUAAUUUUUUGUAUUUUUUAGUAGAGACGGGGUUUCACCGUGUUAGCCAGGAUGGUCUCGAUCUCCUGACCUCGUGAUCCGCCCAUCUUGGCCUCCCAAAGUGCUGGGAUUACAGGCUUGAACCACCGCGCCCGGCCAUUUAAAACUAUUUUUACAUAAAAUGAAGCAAAUAUGUAGAAAAGAAUCCAAAACAAAGAUAGCUCUUAAUAAAUUAUUGUAAGGCAAUGCACCCUUGUGAUCACCACCAAGGCCUCUCUGCCUCUCAUUCACAGAACCCUCAUUUAUUCUUUUUUUUUAAAUGGAGUCUUGCUCUGUCGCCCAGGCCGGAGUGCAGUGGCAUGAUCUUGGCUCACUGCAACCUCUACCUCCCAGGUUCAAGCGAUUCUCCUGCCUCAGCCUCCUGAGCAGCUGGGACUGCAGGCACCCGCCACCAAGCCCGGCUAAUUUUUUGUAUUUUUAGUAGAGAUGAGGUUUCACCAUUUUAGCAAAGAUGGUCUCAAUCUCCUGACCUCAUGAUCCGCCUGCCUCGGCCUCCCAAAGUGCUGGGAUUACAGGUGUGAGCCACCGUGCCCGGCCGGCUGCCCCCUUUUCAUUGUGAGUUCAGGUUGGGGGUUGGGGGAGAGCUGUGGUGUGAGGCCCUGCGAGAGUCCUGCUGACUCAUUGGGAUGCAAACCUGACUCAGACAGGCUUGCAGGGGCAACUCAGAGUCUGGGUUAUGGGCUCAGUGCUGGACCAGCAAGUCCUGGGUCAGCCAAGCCGCAACCCCUACAAGCUGGAGCAAGCCACAGGGGUGGGGGCUGGGUUUCCGGAGGCAGGGAGAGGGCAGGGCUGUGAGUAGAGGGGGCAGUCAGCUGAGAGCUGACCCCUGGGACAGAACUCUGGGACGGCUGACCCAAGACCUCAGCCUCCUUCACAGUUUACUCGCAAGCUGUCGAGGAGAGCCUCUGUGACCUGUGUGCCUGGAAGAUACGACUUCAUCCCUGACCGGCGCACAGCACCUAGCUCCGGGAGGACAGGCGGCUGCUUCCAUGUGGGGAGGCCCUGGCGCCAUUUUUCUGGAAGACUGCAUGCCCUGGGGGACAGGAACGGGGUCUGAGUCUGCGCGACCCAACUCCCCAAGGAGAGUGACUUGGCUCCCAUAUCCCUGCCCAGGGAGGAGGGAGACCUGCCCUCCCUGAGGAGCUGGAGACACAGUGGAGUGUGGGAGAUGGCUCUGGUGGUCCAGAAACCAGAGCAAGAAGCUUCUUGGGUGGUUUUUAUUUUGUCAGGCCUGGGGCAGGGGUGGCCUUGG
Macaca mulatta (Rhesus monkey) is the source of this 2383-nucleotide long non-coding RNA. NCBI's taxonomy places the organism in Eukaryota, Metazoa, Chordata, Mammalia, Primates, Cercopithecidae. The record is from Ensembl.